RNAcentral lists this ribosomal RNA (902 nucleotides) under uncultured bacterium. Its description in RNAcentral is "bacterial SSU rRNA". It matches the Rfam family "Bacterial small subunit ribosomal RNA", at positions 100 to 987 of the family's 1533-position model. The record is from RNAcentral.
GGACGGGUGAGUAACACGUGGGUAACCUGCCUGUAAGACUGGGAUAACUCCGGGAAACCGGAGCUAAUACCGGAUAGUUCCUUGAACCGCAUGGUUCGAGGAUGAAAGACGGUUUCGGCUGUCACUUACAGAUGGACCCGCGGCGCAUUAGCUAGUUGGUGAGGUAACGGCUCACCAAGGCGACGAUGCGUAGCCGACCUGAGAGGGUGAUCGGUCACACUGGGACUGAGACACGGCCCAGACUCCUACGGGAGGCAGCAGUAGGGAAUCUUCCGCAAUGGACGAAAGUCUGACGGAGCAACGCCGCGUGAGUGAUGGAGGUUUUCGGAUCGUAAAGCUCUGUUGUUAGGGAAGAACAAGUGCAAGAGUAACUGCUUGCACCUUGACGGUACCUAACCAGAAAGCCACGGCUAACUACGUGCCAGCAGCCGCGGUAAUACGUAGGUGGCAAGCGUUGUCCGGAAUUAUUGGGCGUAAAGGGCUCGCAGGCGGUUUCUUAAGUCUGAUGUGAAAGCCCCCGGCUCAACCGGGGAGGGUCAUUGGAAACUGGGAAACUUGAGUGCAGAGGAGGAGAGUGGAAUUCCACGUGUAGCGGUGAAGUGCGUAGAGAUGUGGAGGAACACCAGUGGCGAAGGCGACUCUCUGGUCUGUAACUGACGCUGAGGAGCGAAAGCGUGGGGAGCGAACAGGAUUAGAUACCCUGGUAGUCCACGCCGUAAACGAUGAGUGCUAAGUGUUAGGGGGUUUCCGCCCCUUAGUGCUGCAGCUAACGCAUUAAGCACUCCGCCUGGGGAGUACGGUCGCAAGACUGAAACUCAAAGGAAUUGACGGGGGCCCGCACAAGCGGUGGAGCAUGUGGUUUAAUUCGAUGCAACGCGAAGAACCUUACCUACUCUUGACAU